This 73-nucleotide transfer RNA is filed under the name archaeon. RNAcentral describes it as "tRNA-Val". It matches the Rfam family "tRNA". From Rfam's summary of the family: Transfer RNA (tRNA) molecules are approximately 80 nucleotides in length. Their secondary structure includes four short double-helical elements and three loops (D, anti-codon, and T loops). The record is from RNAcentral.
GGGCUUGUGGUCUAGUGGCUAUGAUGUCUCCCUUACACGGAGAGGAUCCUCGGUUCGAGUCCGAGCAGGCCCA